GCUUCCAUCUAGGAAGAAUCUGGAGACAGGUGACUGCAUGGCUGUCGUCAGCUCGUGUCGUCGAGAGUGUUGGGUUAAGUCCCGUAACGAGCGCAACCCUUGUCCUUAGUUACCAGCACGUUAUGGUGGGCACUCUAAGGAGACUGCCGGUGACAAACCGGAGGAAGGUGGGGAUGACGUCAAGUCAUCAUGGCCCUUACGGCCUGGGCUACACACGUGCUACAAUGGUCGGUACAAAGGGUUGCCAAGCCGCGAGGUGGAGCUAAUCCCAUAAAACCGAUCGUAGUCCGGAUCGCAGUCUGCAACUCGACUGCGUGAAGUCGGAAUCGCUAGUAAUCGUGAAUCAGAAUGUCACGGUGAAUACGUUCCCGGGCCUU
RNAcentral lists this ribosomal RNA (377 nucleotides) under uncultured Pseudomonas sp. RNAcentral's name for it is "bacterial SSU rRNA". It matches the Rfam family "Bacterial small subunit ribosomal RNA", at positions 1009 to 1382 of the family's 1533-position model. The record is from RNAcentral. Lineage: Bacteria; Pseudomonadati; Pseudomonadota; Gammaproteobacteria; Pseudomonadales; Pseudomonadaceae.